This 253-nucleotide ribosomal RNA is filed under the name uncultured bacterium. RNAcentral's name for it is "partial 16S ribosomal RNA". It matches the Rfam family "Bacterial small subunit ribosomal RNA", at positions 524 to 776 of the family's 1533-position model. The record is from RNAcentral.
UACGAAGGGGGCUAGCGUUGCUCGGAAUCACUGGGCGUAAAGGGCGCGUAGGCGGAUCUUUAAGUCGGGGGUGAAAGCCCAGGGCUCAACCCUGGAAUUGCCUUCGAUACUGGAGAUCUUGAGACCGGAAGAGGUAAGUGGAACUGCGAGUGUAGAGGUGAAAUUCGUAGAUAUUCGCAAGAACACCAGUGGCGAAGGCGGCUCACUGGCCCGGUACUGACGCUGAGGUGCGAAAGCGUGGGGAGCAAACAGG